RNAcentral lists this ribosomal RNA (421 nucleotides) under uncultured bacterium. RNAcentral's name for it is "partial 16S ribosomal RNA". It matches the Rfam family "Bacterial small subunit ribosomal RNA", at positions 360 to 773 of the family's 1533-position model. The record is from RNAcentral.
AAUAUUGGAUAUUGGGGUCAACCCUGAUCCAGCCAUGCCGCGUGUGUGAAGAAGGCCUUCGGAUUGUAAAGCACUUUAAGUUGGGACGAAGGGCUUUAGGCUAAUACCCUGAAGUUUUGACGUUACCAACAGAAUAAUCACCGGCUAACUCCGCGCCAGCAGCCGCGGUAAUACAGAGGGUGCAAGCGUUAAUCGGAAUUACUGGGCUUAAAGCGCGCGUAGGUGGUUCAGUAAGAUGGGUGUGAAAUCCCCGGGCUUAACCUGGGAACUGCUUUCAUAACUGCUGAGCUAGAGUACGGUAGAGGGUAGUGGAAUUUCCUGUGUAGCGGUGAAAUGCGUAGAUAUAGGAAGGAACACCAGUGGCGAAGGCGACUACCUGGACUGAUACUGACACUGAGGUGCGAAAGCGUGGGGAGCAAAC